Molecule: ribosomal RNA, 426 nt
Filed under: Triticum aestivum (bread wheat)
Lineage: Eukaryota; Viridiplantae; Streptophyta; Magnoliopsida; Poales; Poaceae
Description: partial small subunit ribosomal RNA
Source: RNAcentral
AUGCGGAAUGACCCACACACUACCACCAAUGUCGGCAACCAGGGGAGCCGAGCACCACCGCUGCCACCUACCACCAGGCACCAGGCCCACAACCCCAACCACCUCCGCCGUCUGGCCAAAGGCCAAGAAUUUUAUCCAGAGAAGGAGGGGGGGAGCAGGGGGGCCGAUUUGGAAGCUCGGCCCGCCCUCAAGAGGGAGAAUGACACUGAAGCGCCGUCGGUGUCGAGGUCAACGCGAAAUCGACCAGGCGUUUUCUCCAUUCCAGGACACUGCCACCCAUCCUCGACGGCCAUAUCUGACGGGCCAGACAUCAGAUUGAUGAGAGGAGACCACCACGAGGGGAAGGGGCCGGAAGGAAGAAGAGCCACCCACUUCUGCAGCAAGACAUUGCCGUCCUUGUGCCACCCACGCCACCGGAAGGAAUGA